UACGUAGGGUGCAGGCGUUAAUCGGAAUUACUGGGCGUAAAGCGUGCGCAGGCGGUCUGCUAAGACAGGUGUGAAAUCCCCGGGCUCAACCCGGGAACUGCGUCCGAGACUGGCAGGCUCGAAUCCGGGAGAGGGAUGUGGAAUUCCAGGUGUAGCGGUGAAAUGCGUAGAUAUCUGGAGGAACACCGGUGGCGAAGGCGGCAUCCUGGACCGGUAUUGACGCUGAGGCGCGAAAGCCAGGGGAGCAAACGGG
RNAcentral lists this ribosomal RNA (253 nucleotides) under uncultured bacterium. RNAcentral's name for it is "partial 16S ribosomal RNA". It matches the Rfam family "Bacterial small subunit ribosomal RNA", at positions 524 to 776 of the family's 1533-position model. The record is from RNAcentral.